GACGAACGCUGGCGGCGUGCUUAACACAUGCAAGUCGAACGGAAAGGCCCUGCAUUUGUGGGGUGCUCGAGUGGCGAACGGGUGAGUAACACGUGAGUAACCUGCCCUUGACUUUGGGACAACUUCAGGAAACUGGGGCUAAUACCGGAUAGGAGCUCCUGCUGCAUGGUGGGGGUUGGAAAGUUUCGGCGGCUGGGGAUGGACUCGCGGCUUAUCAGCUUGUUGGUGGGGUAGUGGCUUACCAAGGCUUUGACGGGUAGCCGGCCUGAGAGGGUGACCGGCCACAUUGGGACUGAGAUACGGCCCAGACUCCUACGGGAGGCAGCAGUGGGGAAUAUUGCACAAUGGGCGGAAGCCUGAUGCAGCAACGCCGCGUGCGGGAUGACGGCCUUCGGGUUGUAAACCGCUUUCGCCUGUGACGAAGCGUGAGUGACGGUAAUGUGUAAAGAAGCACCGGCUAACUACGUG
Molecule: ribosomal RNA, 468 nt
Filed under: uncultured bacterium
Lineage: Bacteria
Description: partial 16S ribosomal RNA
Rfam family: Bacterial small subunit ribosomal RNA
Source: RNAcentral